This 415-nucleotide ribosomal RNA is filed under the name uncultured crenarchaeote. RNAcentral describes it as "partial 16S ribosomal RNA". It matches the Rfam family "Archaeal small subunit ribosomal RNA", at positions 330 to 747 of the family's 1478-position model. The record is from RNAcentral. Lineage: Archaea; Thermoproteati; Thermoproteota.
GUGCAGCAGUCGCGAAAACUCCGCAAUACGCGAAAGCGUGACGGGGCCAUCCCGAGUGCCGUCCGCUGAGGAUGGCUUUUCCCCAGUGUAGAAAGCUGGGGGAAUAAGGAGAGGGCAAGUCUGGUGUCAGCCGCCGCGGUAAUACCAGCUCUUCGAGUGGUAGGGAUGUUUAUUGGGCCUGAAGCAUCCGUAGCCGGCUGGGCAAGUCCUCUGUUAAAUCCAGCGAUUUAAUCGUUGGAUUGCGGGGGAUACUGUUCGGCUAGGAGGCGAGAGAGGCCAUCGGUAUUCUUGGGGUAGGGGUGAAAUCCUAUAAUCCCGAGAGGACCACCAGUGGCGAAGGCUGUCGGCUAGAACGCGCCCGACGGUGAGGGAUGAAAGCUGGGGGAGCGAACCGGAUUAGAUACCCGGGUAGUCC